UACGGAGGGGGCAAGCGUUGUUCGGAAUCACUGGGCGUAAAGCGCGUGUAGGCGGCCUCCUCAGUCUGGUGUGAAAGCCCGGGGCUCAACCCCGGAAGUGCAUUGGAUACUGGGAGGCUGGAGUACCGGAGAGGAGGGUUGAAUUCCUGGUGUAGCGGUGAAAUGCGUAGAUAUCAGGAGGAACACCGGUGGCGAAGGCGGCCCUCUGGACGGAUACUGACGCUGAGACGCGAAAGCGUGGGGAGCAAACAGG
This 253-nucleotide ribosomal RNA is filed under the name uncultured bacterium. Its description in RNAcentral is "partial 16S ribosomal RNA". It matches the Rfam family "Bacterial small subunit ribosomal RNA", at positions 524 to 776 of the family's 1533-position model. The record is from RNAcentral.